RNAcentral lists this ribosomal RNA (301 nucleotides) under uncultured bacterium. RNAcentral describes it as "partial 16S ribosomal RNA". It matches the Rfam family "Bacterial small subunit ribosomal RNA", at positions 509 to 807 of the family's 1533-position model. The record is from RNAcentral.
CAGUAGCCACGGGAAUACGAAGGGGGCUAGCGUUGUUCGGAAUUACUGGGCGUAAAGCGCACGUAGGCGGACAUUUAAGUCAGGGGUGAAAUCCCGGGGCUCAACCCCGGAACUGCCUUUGAUACUGGGUGUCUAGAGUAUGGAAGAGGUGAGUGGAAUUCCGAGUGUAGAGGUGAAAUUCGUAGAUAUUCGGAGGAACACCAGUGGCGAAGGCGGCUCACUGGUCCAUUACUGACGCUGAGGUGCGAAAGCGUGGGGAGCAAACAGGAUUAGAUACCCCGGUAGUCCCUGUCUCUUAUAC